Molecule: ribosomal RNA, 207 nt
Filed under: uncultured bacterium
Lineage: Bacteria
Description: partial 16S ribosomal RNA
Rfam family: Bacterial small subunit ribosomal RNA
Source: RNAcentral
CGGAUCGCAGGCUGCAACCCGCCCUGCGUGAAGUUGGAAUCGCUAGUAAUCGCGGAUCAGCAUGCCGCGGUGAAUACGUUCCCGGGCCUUGUACACACCGCCCGUCACACCAUGAGAGUCGGGAACACCCGAAGUCCGUAGCCUAACCGCAAGGGGGCGCGGCCGAAGGUGGGUUCGAUAAUUGGGGUGAAGUCGUAACAAGGUAAC